Ribosomal RNA from Cricetulus griseus (Chinese hamster), 108 nucleotides. The record is from Ensembl. NCBI's taxonomy places the organism in Eukaryota, Metazoa, Chordata, Mammalia, Rodentia, Cricetidae.
GUCUACGGCCACACCACCCUGAAUGAGCCUGAUCCUGGAAGCUAAUCAGGGUUGGCCCUGGUUAGUACUUGGAUGGGAGAAAGAAAGGUAGGUUAGGAUCUUUAGUCU